CAGUACCAUGGUAGGAUUGAUAUGAAGAAAGCCUGUAAUCUGAACUGGAUAUAAUGGGUUACCGCUUUCAACCCACCAGUCCCCCAAUGUUACGUCACCUCUCAAGCCCCAUCAAUGAUUCAGUAGGCCAGGGAAAGUGCUGGUCUCCUGUACCCCACUGACUCUCACUGAGUCUGGGACAGCAGUAGCAGGACUGUCCAGGACUGGGAUGAUGCUAAGGAAGUCAGGGCCAGGGGUCUGCAGGUGACCCACCCUGCUGCUUUGGUGCCUGUAUGUCUGUGUGAAGGAGCACACUGUCUAUGACCACAACAGAACGGAGAAAACCAGGGAGAUGGAAAGGCCAUUUUGUGAACAAGGUGAACGUUUAAGGGAGUGUGAUGCUGGAGACAGUGUUCAAACGCUUGGACUCCCAGGGGACCUUGCAGUGUGACGGUCGCCACAAUGUCUCCCUUCCAGUGUACACAGUGCAGACAAGUGAUGCAGGGUCUCCUCAAUGACGAGAUUCAGAAGUUUUGUCCAGAGAAAAGCAACUCAACAGGUGACUCUGGUAUCAGAGAGGAAGGAGGGGCUGGUCUGGGUCUGAUUGGUCCAGCAGAGACACCAUCUGGGGAGGAACCAUCAGCUC
This is a non-coding RNA of Salvelinus sp. IW2-2015, 625 nucleotides long. Lineage: Eukaryota; Metazoa; Chordata; Actinopteri; Salmoniformes; Salmonidae. The record is from RefSeq and is a predicted model, not a curated record.